This 492-nucleotide ribosomal RNA is filed under the name uncultured bacterium. Its description in RNAcentral is "partial 16S ribosomal RNA". It matches the Rfam family "Bacterial small subunit ribosomal RNA", at positions 29 to 507 of the family's 1533-position model. The record is from RNAcentral.
AGUGAACGCUGGCGGUAGGCCUAACACAUGCAAGUCGAACGGCAGCACAGUAAGAGCUUGCUCUUACGGGUGGCGAGUGGCGGACGGGUGAGGAAUACAUCGGAAUCUACUUUUUCGUGGGGGAUAACGUAGGGAAACUUACGCUAAUACCGCAUACGACCUACGGGUGAAAGCAGGGGAUCUUCGGACCUUGCGCGAUUGAAUGAGCCGAUGUCGGAUUAGCUAGUUGGCGGGGUAAAGGCCCACCAAGGCGACGAUCCGUAGCUGGUCUGAGAAGAUGAUCGGCCACACUCGAACUGAGACACGGUCCAGACUCCUACGGGAGGCAGCAUUGGGGAAUAUUGGACAAUGAACGCAAGCCUGAUCCAACCAUACCGCGUGGAUAAAGAAAGCCUUCGAGUUGUAAAACCCUUUUGUUGGGAAAGAAAAGCAGCAGGUUAAUACCCCGCUGUUCUGACGGUACCCAAAGAAUAAGCACCGGCUAACUUCGUG